UACGGAGGGUGCGAGCGUUAAUCGGAAUUACUGGGCGUAAAGCGCGCGUAGGUGGUCUGUUAAGUCGGAUGUGAAAGCCCCGGGCUCAACCUGGGAACUGCAUCCGAUACUGGCAGACUAGAGUGCGGGAGAGGGAGGUAGAAUUUCCUGUGUAGCGGUGAAAUGCGUAGAUAUAGGAAGGAAUACCGGUGGCGAAGGCGGCCUCCUGGCUCGACACUGACACUGAGGUGCGAAAGCGUGGGGAGCAAACAGG
RNAcentral lists this ribosomal RNA (253 nucleotides) under uncultured bacterium. RNAcentral's name for it is "partial 16S ribosomal RNA". It matches the Rfam family "Bacterial small subunit ribosomal RNA", at positions 524 to 776 of the family's 1533-position model. The record is from RNAcentral.